UACGUAGGUGGCAAGCGUUGUCCGGAAUUACUGGGUGUAAAGCGCGCGUAGGCGGUAGUCCAAGUCUGCUGUGAAAUCGCCCGGCUCAACUGGGCGCGGUCGGUGGAAACUGGUCAACUGGAGGACGGUAGAGGCGAGUGGAAUUCCCGGUGUAGUGGUGAAGUGCGUAGAGAUCGGGAGGAACACCAGUGGCGAAGGCGGCUCGCUGGGCCGGACCUGACGCUGAGGCGCGAAGGCGUGGGGAGCGAACGGG
RNAcentral lists this ribosomal RNA (253 nucleotides) under uncultured bacterium. Its description in RNAcentral is "partial 16S ribosomal RNA". It matches the Rfam family "Bacterial small subunit ribosomal RNA", at positions 524 to 776 of the family's 1533-position model. The record is from RNAcentral.